CCUUUCCAUCAAAUUGCAUGAAUUUGGGUGGCUAAUAACCCAUUGGCAUCCUCAAGGUGUCAAUCCUUUUAGAGUAUGGCUUUUAGUACAACACGGAAUCAUGCGAGCUUCUUUCAUAUUGCGCCUUGAUUGUGCUUAUGAUCAUCUCUUGCAACUCUUAGAUAGAGAAAGAUCCCAUGAGCGUCGCAGCUCGGUCCACCUUUAGCUUCUCCUCAACUUUGUCUAUCUGAGGCUCUUCCUUUUUGUCAGUUUCCUCCUUUAGUGGACCAAACCUUCGGGUUAGCUUUCUAGUCAUGCUGCGCCUCCAGACAGUUGACGAGUGUAGCAAUUUGCAAGUCUUUUUCCUUCAUGGUCCUUGUCAGCCUUGCGAUUGCUUCGCUCAUUUGUGCCAGCUGCUCUUUGAUUAAAGUCGCACCAGUAGUCAUGACUUGCAUGGCUACGUGAUACGAGCUGCUGCUUGAGUCAGAAGUCAACGACUCAUAGUACCUUUUCAGGCUUUCUUUCCUUGGUGCCCUUAGCGAGGCAAGGGUGAUCACGGGC
This 540-nucleotide long non-coding RNA is filed under the name Malus domestica (apple). RNAcentral describes it as "long non-coding RNA (MDOM_LNC013967)". The record is from RNAcentral. Lineage: Eukaryota; Viridiplantae; Streptophyta; Magnoliopsida; Rosales; Rosaceae.